GGGGAAUAUUGGACAAUGGGCGAAAGCCUGAUCCAGCAAUGCCGCGUGAGUGAUGAAGGCCUUAGGGUUGUAAAGCUCUUUUACCAGGGAUGAUAAUGACAGUACCUGGAGAAUAAGCUCCGGCUAACUCCGUGCCAGCAGCCGCGGUAAUACGGAGGGAGCUAGCGUUGUUCGGAAUUACUGGGCGUAAAGCGCACGUAGGCGGCGACUCAAGUCAGAGGUGAAAGCCCGGGGCUCAACCCCGGAACUGCCUUUGAAACUAGGUUGCUAGAAUCUUGGAGAGGUCAGUGGAAUUCCGAGUGUAGAGGUGAAAUUCGUAGAUAUUCGGAAGAACACCAGUGGCGAAGGCGACUGACUGGACAAGUAUUGACGCUGAGGUGCAAAAGCGUGGGGAGCAAAC
This 400-nucleotide ribosomal RNA is filed under the name uncultured bacterium. Its description in RNAcentral is "bacterial SSU rRNA". It matches the Rfam family "Bacterial small subunit ribosomal RNA", at positions 356 to 773 of the family's 1533-position model. The record is from RNAcentral.